RNAcentral lists this ribosomal RNA (253 nucleotides) under uncultured bacterium. RNAcentral's name for it is "partial 16S ribosomal RNA". It matches the Rfam family "Bacterial small subunit ribosomal RNA", at positions 524 to 776 of the family's 1533-position model. The record is from RNAcentral.
UACAGAGGGGGCAAGCGUUGUUCGGAAUUACUGGGCGUAAAGGGCGCGUAGGCGGCCUGCUAAGUCGAACGUGAAAUCCCUGGGCUCAACCCAGGAACUGCGUCCGAUACUGGUUGGCUUGAAUUCGGGAGAGGGAUGUGGAAUUCCAGGUGUAGCGGUGAAAUGCGUAGAUAUCUGGAGGAACACCGGUGGCGAAGGCGGCAUCCUGGACCGAGAUUGACGCUGAGGCGCGGAAGCUAGGGUAGCAAACAGG